Molecule: ribosomal RNA, 796 nt
Filed under: Chytridiales sp. ARG 012
Lineage: Eukaryota; Fungi; Chytridiomycota; Chytridiomycetes; Chytridiales
Description: eukaryotic LSU rRNA
Rfam family: Eukaryotic large subunit ribosomal RNA
Source: RNAcentral
GCUCAAAUUUGAAAUCUGGCAGGUUUCCUGUCCGAAUUGUAGUUUCAAGGUGCGUUUUCGGGGGCGGCUUAGGUCCAAGCUGUUGGAACGCAGUGCCAUAGAGGGUGAGAGCCCCGUAGGACCUGAUGUUCGCUCCUGUAUAUACGUAUCCGAAGAGUCGCAUAGUUUGGGAAUGCUGUGCAAAUUGGGUGGUAAAUAUCAUCUAAAGCUAAAUAUUGGCGAGAGACCGAUAGCGAACAAGUACCGUGAGGGAAAGAUGAAAAGAACUUUGAAAAGAGAGUUAAAAGUACGUGAAAUUGUCAAAAGGGAAACGCUUGAAACCAGUAUCGGGGCUAGAUUAUCAGCCGCAAGGUGCACUAGUCUAGUCUUGGGUCAGCAACAGUUUGGUUUGGAGUAAAAAACUAGCGGAAGGUAGCCUCUGGUGUUAUAGCCGCUAGCAAUGCUCUGGGCUGGACUGAGGACUGCGGGUAUCUUGGGGAACUUGCCGCCAUGGAAAGCGUACUUGUAAACAACUUGUUGAUUGCGAGUGCGCCCAAGUGAUCGGUAGGGUACCACUUCUACCCUAGGUUGCUGACGAAAUGGUUUUAAACGACCCGUCUUGAAACACGGACCAAGGAGUCCAACACACAUGCGAGUAUUUGGGUGGUAAACCCGAGUGCGUAAUGAAAGUAAAUGUAGGUGGGAUCCUUCGGGUGCACCAUCGACCGGUCUGGAACUUUGUGAAAGAUCGAGUAAGAGCAUGUUUGUUGGGACCCGAAAGAUGGUGAACUAUGCCUGAAUAGGGUGAAGUCAGAGG